Molecule: ribosomal RNA, 253 nt
Filed under: uncultured bacterium
Lineage: Bacteria
Description: partial 16S ribosomal RNA
Rfam family: Bacterial small subunit ribosomal RNA
Source: RNAcentral
UACAGAGGUUCCAAGCGUUGUUCGGAUUCACUGGGCGUAAAGGGUGCGUAGGUGGCAGGGUAAGUCGGAUGUGAAAUCUCCGAGCUCAACUCGGAAAUGGCAUUGGAAACUACCCAGCUAGAGGGUCGGAGGGGGGACUGGAAUUCUCGGUGUAGCAGUGAAAUGCGUAGAUAUCGAGAGGAACACCAGUGGCGAAGGCGAGUCCCUGGACGACUCCUGACACUGAGGCACGAAAGCUAGGGGAGCAAACAGG